GACGAACGCUGGCGGCGUGCUUAACACAUGCAAGUCGAACGGAAAGGCCCUGCUUUUGUGGGGUGCUCGAGUGGCGAGCGGGUGAGUAACACGUGAGUAACCUGCCCUUGACUUUGGGAUAACUUCAGGAAACUGGGGCUAAUACCGGAUAGGAGCUCCUGCUGCAUGGUGGGGGUUGGAAAGUUUCGGCGGUUGGGGAUGGACUCACGGCUUAUCAGCUUGUUGGUGGGGUAGUGGCUUACCAAGGCUUUGACGGGUAGCCGGCCUGAGAGGGUGACCGGCCACAUUGGGACUGAGAUACGGCCCAGACUCCUACGGGAGGCAGCAGUGGGGAAUAUUGCACAAUGGGCGGAAGCCUGAUGCAGCAACGCCGCGUGCGGGAUGACGGCCUUCGGGUUGUAAACCGCUUUCGCCUGUGACGAAGCGUGAGUGACGGUAAUGGGUAAAGAAGCACCGGCUAACUACGUG
This 468-nucleotide ribosomal RNA is filed under the name uncultured bacterium. RNAcentral describes it as "partial 16S ribosomal RNA". It matches the Rfam family "Bacterial small subunit ribosomal RNA", at positions 28 to 507 of the family's 1533-position model. The record is from RNAcentral.